AUGGGCAUGAUGCUCAUCAAACACAGGACUGUGCUGCAAAGAAUGGACCCUCCCUUCACUAAGAUAAGAUUGCUGGGUCUCCUCCUGUGCCUGCUGACAGCCCCCCAGGGUGUCCAGUCCCAGAUGCAGGUGCAGGAGUCAGGCCCAGGACUGGUGAAGCCCUCUCAGACCCUCUCCCUCACCUGCACUGUCUCUGGAUACUCCAUCACCAGUAGUUAUGACUGGAGAUGGAUCCGCCAGCCCCCAGGGAAGGGGCUAGAGUGGAUCGGAGGCAUAAAUGGUGGUGGAAGCACUUACUACACCCCGUCCUUCAAGAGCCAAGUGUCCAUCUCCAGAGACAUGUCCAAGAACCAAUUCUCCUUGCAGCUGAGCUCUGUCAGCACCGAGGACACAGCUGUGUAUUACUGUGCAGGAGGCACAGUGAGGUGA
Pteronotus mesoamericanus is the source of this 429-nucleotide non-coding RNA. The record is from the annotation of a RefSeq genome assembly. Lineage: Eukaryota; Metazoa; Chordata; Mammalia; Chiroptera; Mormoopidae.